GCGCGGGGGGCAGCGCGGGAGCAUCAGGCCCUGGGGCUGAGGGGCCACGAGGGGCUGAGGGUGGAGAGCGGGUAUAUGCGCAGGCAUCGCACAUCCUUCUCACCUCUGUGUCAGCCUCCAAAUCGUCACAGAAUCACAGAACAGUUUGAGUUGGAAGGGACCUCACAGAUCAUCCAGUUUCAACUCCCCUGCCAUGGGCAGGGACAACUUCCACUAGACCAGGUUGGUCAAAGUCCCAUCCAACCUGGCAUGUACUUCUGUGUGUUUCUGAGUGUGCCCUGCCUGCACGGCAUCAUAGGGAGGUUAUUGUAUUAUCUGCUGAAUAUGUGCUUAUUCCUGCAGGUAACCUCUGCAAAUGGAUUGCAGUGCUAGAUUCCCAUUCAGAGCACACCUCUGAAAUUGCUACCCAUCACAAGAGAUGUUUCAAGCAAAAGCCUCUGGCUUGGCUGUUUUAAGCAGGAUGCCCAAUCAGAAUGUUUUGUGGCUGGUGAAGCACGUAGAGAGGUAUUUCUCUCUGCUUGAUCUCCCUCUCUAGCUUUGCCUAUUAAGGGCACUUUUCUGUUACCUUGAUGGUACCUUGAUGGGGACCAUGAUGGGUUUGCCAUCCUUGGGAGACCUUUAUCUCCCAGGGAGUUUUCCAAGCAGGAAGAAGCAUCUGAGGUUAAAUACUGGAGAAUUAGAUGGGUGGGUUUCCUUGCUUCUUGAAGGUGUGAUGUUCAAAGGAAAAGGUGCCAGCUGAAGGUUAGGAAAGCAAAACCAAGAGUAGGAGUUAUCUCUUAAGUUGUUUGUUUAAGUUCAUUUUACUAAACAGCUAAGUGCAAAGCUCUUGCUUAAAGCUGUGUUUGCACGGCAAAAAACCCCAACCACAACAAGCCAAGGAAAAGCUCAAUGCCCCAGCUGUUGAUAGCCCAGACAAGCUUUCUCCUGAGCAACCCCAACACAACAAGCACAAGAUGGAUGUGAACUGUCACCAUGUCACCUGAGAGAAUGGCUGCCUCCCUAAUAAAACAUUCUCCACACUGAUGAAUUUUCCAA
Molecule: long non-coding RNA, 1035 nt
Organism: Pezoporus occidentalis (night parrot)
Lineage: Eukaryota; Metazoa; Chordata; Aves; Psittaciformes; Psittacidae
Exons: 2
Source: RefSeq, a predicted model, not a curated record